UACGAAGGGGGCUAGCGUUGUUCGGAAUCACUGGGCGUAAAGCGCACGUAGGCGGAUGUGCCAGUCAGGGGUGAAAUCCCGGAGCUCAACUCCGGAACUGCCUCUGAUACAGCACGUCUUGAGUUCGAGAGAGGUGGGUGGAAUUCCUAGUGUAGAGGUGAAAUUCGUAGAUAUUAGGAAGAACACCGGUGGCGAAGGCGGCCCACUGGCUCGAUACUGACGCUGUGGUGCGAAAGCGUGGGGAGCAAACAGG
RNAcentral lists this ribosomal RNA (253 nucleotides) under uncultured bacterium. Its description in RNAcentral is "partial 16S ribosomal RNA". It matches the Rfam family "Bacterial small subunit ribosomal RNA", at positions 524 to 776 of the family's 1533-position model. The record is from RNAcentral.